CCUACGGGCGGCAGCAGUGGGGAAUAUUGGACAAUGGGGGGAACCCUGAUCCAGCCAUGCCGCGUGUGUGAAGAAGGCCCUCGGGUUGUAAAGCACUUUCAGUGAGGAAGAACGCCUGGUGGUUAAUACCCAUCAGGAAAGACAUCACUCACAGAAGAAGCACCGGCUAACUCCGUGCCAUCAGCCGCGGUAAUACGGAGGGUGCGAGCGUUAAUCGGAAUUACUGGGCGUAAAGCGCGCGUAGGUGGCUUGAUAAGCCGGUUGUGAAAGCCCCGGGCUCAACCUGGGAACGGCAUCCGGAACUGUCAAGCUAGAGUGCAGGAGAGGAAGGUAGAAUUCCCGGUGUAGCGGUGAAAUGCGUAGAGAUCGGGAGGAAUACCAGUGGCGAAGGCGGCCUUCUGGACUGACACUGACACUGAGGUGCGAAAGCGUGGGUAGCAAACAGGAUUAGAUACCCUAGUAGUC
Molecule: ribosomal RNA, 465 nt
Filed under: Vreelandella stevensii
Lineage: Bacteria; Pseudomonadati; Pseudomonadota; Gammaproteobacteria; Oceanospirillales; Halomonadaceae
Description: partial 16S ribosomal RNA
Rfam family: Bacterial small subunit ribosomal RNA
Source: RNAcentral